AUGAACGAUCUGAUGAGCGACUCCUUCGUCGGCGCCGCUGCAGCAGCGGCCCAGGCCAAGAGGCAGCAGGACGGCGUGCCUGCCGCCGGCGCCGAGAAGCUGCAGGCGUUCUUGGCAGAGGCAGAGGCGGCCAAGAACGAGAUGGCCGCGCUGCGCAACGAGCUUUCCCAGCUCCAGUCCGCGCACGAGGCUUCUAAGUCCCUCCUCCGCCCCGGCGCGCCCCGCGCCGCCACGCAGGCCGCGCUCGUCCGCCUCCUAGGCUCCGCCCGCCGCCUCCGCGCCCGCCUUGCAUCCAUGGACCGCCGCGCGCCGGCGCCCGCCGCCCACGCCACCGCGGGCCUCCGCGGCCGCCUCCAUGACCUCACCGCCGGGGUCCAGACCCUCCGGCGUCAGGUCUCCGCCGAGCGCCGUGGCGACGCGGCCCGCUGCUACCUCGCCGCGGCCGGCGAGGCCCCCACCGAGGACCAGCUGGAUCGGCUCGUCGCAAGCGGCGGAGCGGGCGCCAACGACGCCGACGAGGCGAUGCGGGCGGCCAUGCUGUCCUCCUCCGAGGCUGAGAAGGUGGAGGGUGGGCUCCUUGAGCUGCAGCAGCUGUUUCUCGACAUGGCCGCGCUGGUCGAGUCCCAGGGCCCACUCUUGGACGACGUGGAGCGGCAUGUCGCAGCGGCAGCGGAGGACGUCGGCGCGGCCGAGGGGGAGCUGCGAGAGGCCCAGCGGCUCCAGGGCGCCGCGCGGCGGAGGAGGAUGUGGUUGGGCGGGGGGCUCGCGGCGCUGCUGCUGGUCGCCCUCGCCGUGGCGGCCGUCGUGGUGGCUCUCGCUCUGUCGCGGCGCAAGGGCGGCAGUGUGCAGCUCGCCGGUGCCGGUCUGUCUGGCUUGAGUGAAUUUGCCAGUGUUGGUGUGUUUCGUUUUCUUGGGUUGUGA
This 921-nucleotide ribosomal RNA is filed under the name Triticum aestivum (bread wheat). RNAcentral describes it as "partial small subunit ribosomal RNA". The record is from RNAcentral. Lineage: Eukaryota; Viridiplantae; Streptophyta; Magnoliopsida; Poales; Poaceae.